RNAcentral lists this ribosomal RNA (254 nucleotides) under uncultured bacterium. Its description in RNAcentral is "partial 16S ribosomal RNA". It matches the Rfam family "Bacterial small subunit ribosomal RNA", at positions 524 to 776 of the family's 1533-position model. The record is from RNAcentral.
UACGGGGGGAGCAAGCGUUGUUCGGAUUUACUGGGCGUAAAGGGCGCGUAGGCGGCCACCGCAAGUCGACUGUGAAAUCUCCGGGCUUAACCCGGAACGGUCAGCCGAUACUGCGGGGCUAGAGUGCAGAAGGGGCAACUGGAAUUCUCGGUGUAGCGGUGAAAUGCGUAGAUAUCGAGAGGGACACCUGCGGCGAAGGCGGGUUGCUGGGCUGACACUGACGCUGAGGCGCGAAAGCUAGGGGAGCGAACGGG